RNAcentral lists this ribosomal RNA (84 nucleotides) under Candidatus Burarchaeum australiense. Lineage: Archaea; Nanobdellati; Microcaldota; Candidatus Micrarchaeia; Candidatus Burarchaeales; Candidatus Burarchaeaceae. The record is from RNAcentral.
AGCGGCCACAGGAGCGGGGAAACGCCGGAACCCAUUCCGAACUCCGCAGCUAAGACCGCUCACGGCGCUGCCUGUACUGCCUUG